RNAcentral lists this ribosomal RNA (423 nucleotides) under uncultured bacterium. RNAcentral's name for it is "bacterial SSU rRNA". It matches the Rfam family "Bacterial small subunit ribosomal RNA", at positions 207 to 622 of the family's 1533-position model. The record is from RNAcentral.
AAGACCUUGCGCUUUUGGAGCGGCCGAUGCCUGAUUAGCUUGUUGGUAAGGUAAAAGCUUACCAAGGCUUCGAUCAGUAGCUGGUCUGAGAGGACGGCCAGCCACACUGGGACUGAGACACGGCCCAGACUCUUACGGGAGGCAGCAGUGGGGAAUUUUGGACAAUGGGGGCAACCCUGAUCCAGCCAUGCCGCGUGAGUGAAGAAGGCCUUCGGGUUGUAAAGCUCUUUCAGCCGGAACGAAACGGUUACGGUUAAUACCCGUGACUACUGACGGUACCGGAAGAAGAAGCACCGGCUAACUACGUGCCAGCAGCCGCGGUAAUACGUAGGGUGCGAGCGUUAAUCGGAAUUACUGGGCGUAAAGCGUGCGCAGGUGGUUUUGUAAGUCAGAUGUGAAAGCCCCGGGCUCAACCUGGGAACU